CCUACGGGUGGCAGCAGUAGGGAAUCUUCCACAAUGGACGAAAGUCUGAUGGAGCAACGCCGCGUGAGUGAAGGAGGGUUUCGGCUCGUAAAGCUCUGUUGGUAGUGAAGAAAGAUAGAGGUAGUAACUGGCCUUGAUUUGACGGUAAUUACUUAGACAGUCACGGCUAACUACGUGCCAGCAGCCGCGGUAAUACGUAGGUUGCAAGCGUUGUCCGGAUUUUUUGGGCGUAAAGCGAGUGCAGGCGGUUCAAUAAGUCUGAUGUGAAAGCCGUCGGCUCAACCGGAGAAUUGCAUCAGAAACUGUUGAACUUGAGUGCAGAAGAGGGGAGUGGAACUCCAUGUGUAGCGGUGGAAUGCGUAGAUAUAUGGAAGAACACCAGUGGCGAAGGCGGCUCUCUGGGCUGCAACUGACGCUGAGGCUCGAAAGCAUGGGUAGCGAACAGGAUUAGAUACCCUGGUAGUC
Molecule: ribosomal RNA, 465 nt
Filed under: uncultured bacterium
Lineage: Bacteria
Description: partial 16S ribosomal RNA
Rfam family: Bacterial small subunit ribosomal RNA
Source: RNAcentral